This is a long non-coding RNA of Ostrea edulis (European flat oyster), 1644 nucleotides long. RefSeq lists it as uncharacterized. The transcript is spliced from 6 exons. The record is from RefSeq and is a predicted model, not a curated record. Lineage: Eukaryota; Metazoa; Mollusca; Bivalvia; Ostreida; Ostreidae.
AAGGAACGACAACUCUGGGUAGAGAUUGACAAGAGAAGUGAGGUCAACAGGUACCAAGUUUACGGAUCGACCUGACACCACUACUUCCCGAGGACUUCAAAACUUCAAAUUAAAACUUAAAAGACCUGAAGUGAAGGAUGGCACUGAAAAUACACAUAAUUUAUUGUGGUGCAUGAGGAUAUGCCCCCAAGUUUCGCAAAAUUAAAGCGGAACUUGAGAUGGAAUUUCCCAAUGAGUUAGAUAUAACAGGGGAGGGAACUCCUAACACCACUGGCUGGUUGGAGGUCCAGAUUGUCGAUGGUGAACUUCUUCAUUCCAAAAAGAAUGGGGAUGGAUAUGUUGACACUGAUGCUAAGAUGAAUAAGAUCAAGGCUGGAGUCAGAAAAGCAUUGGGAAAGUAAAGAGUGAUGUGGCCAGACAGUUGUGGUGAUGAGAGAUGGUGGAGAAAUAAAGAAAAAUCAGCUAUGAAGGGUCAUAACAAAAAUAGACAAACAAGUCAUGUUGUGACCUGGAAUCACUCAAGAGGAACCUUUGUUUCUGCGCCAUUAACUAUCGACACAACAAAGGAUGUAUUAUAUCUUACUACAUGUACUUCUUACUUAAAGUGUAUUUUUUCCUUUUUGUAUUUUUUCCUUGUACUCUAAUAUACAUUUUUACAAAAUUUAUCUCAUAUUUUUUUUAUUUUUGAAAUGAAUUAAUUAAUUAAUGCCAUUAAUUCAAAUUCUUGUUUGCUUUCCCAUUUUCAACUGACCUAGCAAAAAUGUGGCCACUCAAAAAAUGUUUUCUUGAGAUUAUAUUUGUUAUUCAUUUCUUUUGAAGAUGUGUCACUUUUAAGAUGUAGCUUCAUCAAUCUUGAAUUUGUUCUUUGAAUUGUGCUAUUAACACCAUGACAACAGUCAAAAUGGACUGCCAAUGGGAGACAAACAAUAUUUCUAUUUACUAGUAGUUUCAAAUCUAGGCUUAAAUGAUUAUGCAUCAAUUUUAUUUGUAAUUUUUAUUUGAAAUUGAAUUAUUGUUAAACCUUGCAUUUAGAAACGUAUAGGUAGGGCCAAAAAAAAUUAAUCAAUAGUUUCUCAGGCCCUACCGCAUCCAUUGAAAAGGCACUGCAUGGAAUUUUUCUUUUAUCAACUUAUAUUAAUUUUGGGUUUUUGUUUAUGUAAAUAAGGUAAUUUACUCUUCUAUUAUAGACAUUUAUUUUUAUUUUUUAUUUUAAUAAAAUGAUAGGUAUUUUUUAUCAAAUAAUUGCAUACUCAUUUAUAUGCAAGUGUUUAAGAAAAAUGUGUAAAUUUAAUAGUAAUGAAGUGAAGCUAUCCAUUGCUUAUUCUGUAUAAACAUGUACAUGAGAAAGAAAAGGUAACUCAUUCUACAGUCAACAUAAAAAAGAAAGAUAACUCAUACUACAGCCAAGUAAAAAAAAUAAUAAUACCUGCCUGCCUCAUCAAAAAUUUUUAUUUUUGGCCCGAGUGGUUGUGAGUUUGACCCCUUCAGGUUGUUUCCUACUCUUUUAAUCUUUUCUAUAACUUGGAAUACCAAUGGAUUACUGUGUCAUACUUUCUAUUUUCAUAUUACUUGCUGUGUUGAAGCAUGUAUAUAAUUUAUGAACAUAUUGAAAAUGAAUGAAUAAAUCUGUCAAUAAUUUUUGAC